Schistocerca serialis cubense is the source of this 329-nucleotide long non-coding RNA. RefSeq lists it as uncharacterized. NCBI's taxonomy places the organism in Eukaryota, Metazoa, Arthropoda, Insecta, Orthoptera, Acrididae. The transcript is spliced from 3 exons. The record is from RefSeq and is a predicted model, not a curated record.
CAGCGGCUGCUGCAGCAGUAGCAUUAGGAAUAGCAGUGUUGCAGCAGGCUCGGCGGCGGUUCACACCAUGUCGCAGGAUGGGCGCCUCUGCGGUUUGACGGGGCUUCUGCUGCUACUCCUGCUCUGCCGACAGCCUGCCAGCGUCGCCUGUCGCCUCAAAUGUCCGGCAGGCGACUUGUGCCCUGCCCACUACGUAUGCUGCUACGAUCAACUCUGCUGUCCGCUGUCAGAGAGGGUGGCAGAAAUAGCCGGUGCGGUGAGUGGAGUCAUCCUUAUGUUCGGAGGCGUUACUUUCUGCUGCAUCAAGUGUUGCAGGACCAGAAGACGAG